UUCCGCUACUAGCCGAUGUGGGACUAAAUUCGGGUGCACCCCCCACAACAUAGCCCCCCUAGCGGGAAGGUUCCUGUGGCGCCUCCCAGUCCUAGGGGUAGUCUGCGGCAAGGGGCGCGCCCCUUCCUCUAGCGCCAAUCUGUUGCGGGGACGGACGCUUUGGCCGGAGCCUCACGCAACAGUUAGCCCACAUUAAGCUAGCAGAGAAAGAGGACUGCGUUCCUCCCGAGGUAUUGUCUACUUUGGGCGCUCCGGCCCGCGCGUCUAGCGCAUACGGGGGGAGACUGGUGCCCUCACGGUUUUGUCCCACAAAAG
RNAcentral lists this long non-coding RNA (315 nucleotides) under Phoenix dactylifera (date palm). RNAcentral's name for it is "long non-coding RNA (PDAC_LNC003336)". The record is from RNAcentral. Lineage: Eukaryota; Viridiplantae; Streptophyta; Magnoliopsida; Arecales; Arecaceae.